AGAGAUGGAUUGGUGCCUUCGGGAACGUCUGACACAGGUGCUGCAUGGCUGUCGUCAGCCCGUGUCGUGAGAUGUUGGGUUAAGUCCCGUAACGAGCGCAACCCUUGUCCUUAGUUACCAGCACGUUAUGGUGGGCACUCUAAGGAGACUGCCGGUGACAAACCGGAGGAAGGUGGGGAUGACGUCAAGUCAUCAUGGCCCUUACGGCCUGGGCUACACACGUGCUACAAUGGUCGGUACAAAGGGUUGCCAAGCCGCGAGGUGGAGCUAAUCCCAUAAAACCGAUCGUAGUCCGGAUCGCAGUCUGCAACUCGACUGCGUGAAGUCGGAAUCGCUAGUAAUCGUGAAUCGGAAUGUCACGGUGAAUACGUUCCCGGGCCUU
Molecule: ribosomal RNA, 382 nt
Filed under: uncultured Pseudomonas sp.
Lineage: Bacteria; Pseudomonadati; Pseudomonadota; Gammaproteobacteria; Pseudomonadales; Pseudomonadaceae
Description: bacterial SSU rRNA
Rfam family: Bacterial small subunit ribosomal RNA
Source: RNAcentral